Molecule: ribosomal RNA, 484 nt
Filed under: uncultured bacterium
Lineage: Bacteria
Description: bacterial SSU rRNA
Rfam family: Bacterial small subunit ribosomal RNA
Source: RNAcentral
AGGGUUCGAUUCUGGCUCAGAACGAACGCUGGCGGCAUGGAUUAGGCAUGCAAGUCGAACGAAGCAGCAAUGCUUAGUGGCGCAAGGGUGAGGAACACGUGAGUGACCUACCCGCAAGUUUGGAACAGCUCCUGGAAACGGGAAUUAAUACCGGAUGUGAUCAUGAAGCUGCAUGGUUUCAUGAUUAAAGCAGCAAUGCGCUUGCGGAUGGGCUCGCGUCCCAUUAGCUAGUUGGUGAGGUAACGGCCCACCAAGGCCAUGAUGGGUAGCUGGUCUGAGAGGACGACCAGCCACACUGGGACUGAGAACUGCCCAGACUCCUACGGGAGGCUGCAGUCGAGAAUUUUGGGCAAUGGACGAAAGUCCUGACCCAGCAAUGCCGCGUGCGGGAUGAAGGUCUUCGGAUUGUAAACCGCUGUUUGGAGGGACGAAAAUUGACGGUACUUCCAGAGGAAGCCACGGCUAACUACGUGCCAGCCGCGGC